GAUGAACGCUGGCGGCGUGCUUAACACAUGCAAGUCGAACGGGAAACCUUUUAAUGAAGCUUCGGCAGAUUUGGCUGGUUUCUAGUGGCGGACGGGUGAGUAACGCGUGGGUAACCUGCCUUAUACAGGGGGAUAACAACCAGAAAUGGUUGCUAAUACCGCAUAAGCGCACAGGACCGCAUGGUCCGGUGUGAAAAACUCCGGUGGUAUAAGAUGGACCCGCGUUGGAUUAGCUAGUUGGUGGGGUAACGGCCCACCAAGGCGACGAUCCAUAGCCGGCCUGAGAGGGUGAACGGCCACAUUGGGACUGAGACACGGCCCAGACUCCUACGGGAGGCAGCAGUGGGGAAUAUUGCACAAUGGGGGAAACCCUGAUGCAGCGACGCCGCGUGAAGGAAGAAGUAUCUCGGUAUGUAAACUUCUAUCAGCAGGGAAGAUAGUGACGGUACCUGACUAAGAAGCCCCGGCUAACUACGUGCCAGCAGCCGCGGUAA
RNAcentral lists this ribosomal RNA (494 nucleotides) under uncultured bacterium. RNAcentral describes it as "partial 16S ribosomal RNA". It matches the Rfam family "Bacterial small subunit ribosomal RNA", at positions 28 to 523 of the family's 1533-position model. The record is from RNAcentral.